RNAcentral lists this ribosomal RNA (437 nucleotides) under uncultured bacterium. Its description in RNAcentral is "bacterial SSU rRNA". It matches the Rfam family "Bacterial small subunit ribosomal RNA", at positions 383 to 810 of the family's 1533-position model. The record is from RNAcentral.
GUGACGAAGCGUCGCCGCGUGUGGGAAGAAGGCCUUCGGGUUGUAAACCACUGUCGGGAGUUAAGAAAUGUAAGGGUGUUAAUAGCAUCCUUACUUGACUAAGGCUCCGGAGGAAGCCACGGCUAACUCUGUGCCAGCAGCCGCGGUAAUACAGAGGCGGCAAGCGUUGUUCGGAAUUAUUGGGCGUAAAGAGCACGUAGGCGGCCGUGCAAGUCGGUUGUGAAAGCCUUCCGCUUAACGGAAGAACAGCAGCCGAUACUGCAUAGCUUGAGUGCGGAAGGGGAGAGUGGAACUUCUGGUGGAGCGGUGAAAUGCGUAGAUAUCAGAAGGAACGCCGGCGGCGAAAGCGGCUCUCUGGUCCGUAACUGACGCUGAGUGUGCGAAAGCUAGGGGAGCAAACGGGAUUAGAUACCCCGGUAGUCCUAGCCGUAAACGAU